Long non-coding RNA from Carassius carassius (crucian carp), 498 nucleotides. RefSeq lists it as uncharacterized. The transcript has 3 exons. The record is from RefSeq and is a predicted model, not a curated record. NCBI's taxonomy places the organism in Eukaryota, Metazoa, Chordata, Actinopteri, Cypriniformes, Cyprinidae.
CUCACCUGUUUCAGAGUUCGUUCCAUGUCGAUGCCCUGAUUCCAAGGAGCAGCUGGGUUGGCCAGACAAUCUCCAGCAUUGCCUCUGCGAAAGAUGUCGAUCUUCUGUCUGCGCAGAUUACGAAAUGCCUCCGCCAUCACUAGCACACCAUCGUACGUCAGUGAUGAUGAGUACUGAGGAGGAAAGUGAAGCUCUGUCGCAGAGAAUUACAGCCAGAGGACACGCUGUCUUCUACAUUUGUUAAUUUCCUCCAGCCCUCCAUCACUGGAUGAAGCGCGCCAGCACUCACCAGGUCUUCCAGCAGUCUUCGGUAACUGGCGUCGUUGAAGUUCUCCACGCAGAUGGCACUGACCUGCCAACCGUUCUGACCCGCCUUCUCCAUGAUGGCCUGCAGGAUGGCAUAUCCUAACAACAACAACAGCAAAACACUCUAAUACGGCUGUACAUCAUCACCUAAACAUGCGUAUAGCACACAUUGGUAAAUCUCACUUAUAUCAG